GACGAACGCUGGCGGCGUGCUUAACACAUGCAAGUCGAACGGAAAGGCCCUGCUUUUGUGGGGUGCUCGAGCGGCGAACGGGUGAGUAACACGUGAGUAACCUGCCCUUGACUUUGGGAUAACUUCAGGAAACUGGGGCUAAUACCGGAUAGGAGCUCCUGCUGCAUGGUGGGGGUUGGAAAGUUUCGGCGGUUGGGGAUGGACUCGCGGCUUAUCAGCUUGUUGGUGGGGUAGUGGCUUACCAAGGCUUUGACGGGUAGCCGGCCUGAGAGGGUGACCGGCCACAUUGGGACUGAGAUACGGCCCAGACUCCUACGGGAGGCAGCAGUGGGGAAUAUUGCACAAUGGGCGGAAGCCUGAUGCAGCAACGCCGCGUGCGGGAUGACGGCCUUCGGGUUGUAAACCGCUUUCGCCUGUGACGAAGCGUGAGUGACGGUAAUGGGUAAAGAAACACCGGCGAACUACGU
Molecule: ribosomal RNA, 467 nt
Filed under: uncultured bacterium
Lineage: Bacteria
Description: partial 16S ribosomal RNA
Rfam family: Bacterial small subunit ribosomal RNA
Source: RNAcentral